RNAcentral lists this ribosomal RNA (535 nucleotides) under Thynnoturneria sp. MSPW-2001. Its description in RNAcentral is "partial 16S ribosomal RNA". It matches the Rfam family "Bacterial large subunit ribosomal RNA", at positions 1805 to 2612 of the family's 2925-position model. The record is from RNAcentral. Lineage: Eukaryota; Metazoa; Arthropoda; Insecta; Hymenoptera; Thynnidae.
UAACAAAAACAUCGUUUUUUGAAUAUAAUUUAAGAUUGGUUCUGCUCACUGAAUUCAGUUUUAAAGAGCUGCAGUAUACUGACUGUGCAAAGGUAGCAAAAUAAAUUGUUUUUUAAUUGAAAACUGGAAUGAAAGAUUUGAUGAGAUAUAAGCUGUCUCUAAAUAAUAUUUAGAAUUUAAAUUUUAAGUUAAAAUUCUUAAAUAUUUUUAUUAGACGAGAAGACCCUAUAGAAUUUAAUUAAUUUAUUUUAUGAAUUUUUUUAGUUUUUAAAAAGUUAAAUGAAUUAGAUUAAUUUAAUUGGGAGGAUUAUUAAAUUUAUAAAACUUUAAUUUUUAUAUAACAGAAAUUACUGAAUUGUUGAUUUUUAAAUAAUUAAAAGAUAAAAUUACCUUAGGGAUAACAGCGUAAUAUUCUUGGAGAGGCCUUAUUAAUAAGAAUGUUUGCGACCUCGAUGUUGAAUUAAGAUAAAAGCUAAAUGCAGCUGUUUAGUAUUUAAGUCUGUUCGACUUUUAAAAUCUUACGUGAUCUGAGUUC